GCCGCCGUAGCUCAGCCUGGUUAGAGCGCCGGACUCAUAAUCCGGAGAUCCGGGGUUCAAAUCCCCGCGGCGGCA
Molecule: transfer RNA, 75 nt
Filed under: Desulfurococcaceae archaeon
Lineage: Archaea; Thermoproteati; Thermoproteota; Thermoprotei; Desulfurococcales; Desulfurococcaceae
Also listed under: 1 other name
Description: tRNA-Met
Rfam family: tRNA
About the family: Transfer RNA (tRNA) molecules are approximately 80 nucleotides in length. Their secondary structure includes four short double-helical elements and three loops (D, anti-codon, and T loops).
Source: RNAcentral